AGGAUCAUUAUUGAAAUACUUUGGUAAAUCAUAUUAUGAUUAAUAUAUCGUCCAGCUGUUGACCUUUACCUGCGUUGCUUNNNNNNGCUGAUGGAGGGUGUUUGAGUGUUGAUGUGUAUGUGUCCAUUUGGUUUAGGGAAGGACAAUUUGCUUUGCUUUGCUUUGCUGGUACAUUCUCCUGCUCCGAAGCAGUUCAGCAAAGGACCAUUCACCUUGCUUUGCUUUGCUUAAGUGUUCUGCUGCUGCCUGUGGCUCAAGGAAGGACAAUUCAUUUGAAAUGUUCUUCUGCCACCAGCAGUUGAGGGAAGGACAAUUUGCUGUGCUUUGCUUUGGUUGAAUGAAGGUUCUGCUGCUGCUGGUGGUUCAGGGAAGGGCCCAAUUUGCAGUGCCCAGCUUUGCUUAAAUGUUCUUCUCCUACUAUUCAUUGGACAUGACCAUCUUCACUGCUCCCUCCUCCUGGUGAAUGGACUCUUUUAUCUUGUUAUUGUAUAUAUUUGUCUGAAAUUAUAUGAGAAAUUAAAACUUUCAACAACGGAUCUCUUGGCUCCUGCAUCGAUGAAGAACGCAGCGAAAUGCGAUAAUUAAUGUGAAUUGCAGAAUUCAGUGAAUCAUCGAGUCUUUGAACGCACAUUGCGCCUCUGGGGUCUACCUAGAGGCAUGCCUGUCUGAGCGCUGGAUAGCAGCCUCUCAACAAUGUCUUUAUUAUAAAGGUAUUUGUUGGAUAGUAUCAAAGAAGUAUUUUUUCUUUACUGUUCUUUUUCUUCUCUGGGAGAAAAGAAUGGCAAAAAAAACUCUUUGUAAAUAUAUGAUUAGGGUAGUUCUGUAGAUACCGAAUUAUGGGAGACUUGUAAUUGUCAAAUUUGUUUGGUUUUAUAUAUCUAUAAGAAUCCUUAAUCUUUGAACCCAUUUUCACUUUGCCCCCUUUGAACUUUCUUUUAAAUUAAAGGAAACUAGANGCAGGAGCAAAAAUGAUGAACUAGGC
This 982-nucleotide ribosomal RNA is filed under the name Ionopezia gerardii. RNAcentral describes it as "eukaryotic LSU rRNA". The stretch from base 521 to 675 matches the Rfam family "5.8S ribosomal RNA". The record is from RNAcentral. Lineage: Eukaryota; Fungi; Ascomycota; Pezizomycetes; Pezizales; Pezizaceae.